Molecule: transfer RNA, 69 nt
Filed under: Siminovitchia fortis
Lineage: Bacteria; Bacillati; Bacillota; Bacilli; Caryophanales; Bacillaceae
Description: Bacillus fortis tRNA
Rfam family: tRNA
About the family: Transfer RNA (tRNA) molecules are approximately 80 nucleotides in length. Their secondary structure includes four short double-helical elements and three loops (D, anti-codon, and T loops). Further hydrogen bonds mediate the characteristic L-shaped molecular structure. tRNAs have two regions of fundamental functional importance: the anti-codon, which is responsible for specific mRNA codon recognition, and the 3' end, to which the tRNAs corresponding amino acid is attached (by aminoacyl-tRNA synthetases). tRNAs cope with the degeneracy of the genetic code in two manners: having more than one tRNA (with a specific anti-codon) for a particular amino acid; and 'wobble' base-pairing, i.e. permitting non-standard base-pairing at the 3rd anti-codon position.
Source: Rfam by way of RNAcentral
UGGACUAUAGUCAAGUGGCAGGCAUCGGACUUUGAAUCCGUGUCGUUGGUUCGAAUCCAGCUAGUCCAG